Non-coding RNA from Paramuricea clavata, 105 nucleotides. The record is from the annotation of a GenBank genome assembly. Lineage: Eukaryota; Metazoa; Cnidaria; Anthozoa; Malacalcyonacea; Plexauridae.
AAAAUCGGCAAAGUUUUGAAGGAUUUGUAAGAAAUGUUUGAGGGAACUGAUUUAAUGUUUAACGCUAAGUUAGUUCCUGAAACAUUUCUUGCAAAUCCUUCAAAA